This 259-nucleotide long non-coding RNA is filed under the name Solanum tuberosum (potato). Its description in RNAcentral is "long non-coding RNA (STUB_LNC005137)". Lineage: Eukaryota; Viridiplantae; Streptophyta; Magnoliopsida; Solanales; Solanaceae. The record is from RNAcentral.
CUGCCUUUUCUUCUUCUUUUAGAUGAGUUUUAAUUAGGUAUCUCAAUUUCUAGUAUAUGAAAUUAAAGGAAUUUAAUGCAUGGAUUCGGAUUGGCACAAAUUUAUUUCGAUUUGUAUUUUAGAGUAUUGUUUCGAUAUACGAAUAUUUGUUCGGAAACUAAGGAAUCCCUUUGAUUACAUCUUCCUCAGGAAAUAAUUCUCACAACACUAAAAAGAGGUGAAUGUGGCCUGAAGAGAGACAUGUAAAAGCAAGUUUAAU